GGGAGAGUGGCGGAAGGGUAGACGCGAUGGUCUCAAACACCAUUGGAGCAAUCCGUGUGGGUUCAAGUCCCAUCUCUCCUA
RNAcentral lists this transfer RNA (81 nucleotides) under bacterium. RNAcentral describes it as "tRNA-Leu". It matches the Rfam family "tRNA". Rfam says of the family: Transfer RNA (tRNA) molecules are approximately 80 nucleotides in length. Their secondary structure includes four short double-helical elements and three loops (D, anti-codon, and T loops). The record is from RNAcentral.